This is a non-coding RNA of Desmophyllum pertusum, 77 nucleotides long. NCBI's taxonomy places the organism in Eukaryota, Metazoa, Cnidaria, Anthozoa, Scleractinia, Caryophylliidae. The record is from the annotation of a GenBank genome assembly.
GGCUUCAUAGCUCAGUUGGUGGAGCAUCGCACUACUGAGUAACGCGGAGGUCAUGGGUUCAAAUCCCGUUGAAGCCA